Long non-coding RNA from Chroicocephalus ridibundus (black-headed gull), 1881 nucleotides. RefSeq lists it as uncharacterized. Lineage: Eukaryota; Metazoa; Chordata; Aves; Charadriiformes; Laridae. The transcript is spliced from 4 exons. The record is from RefSeq and is a predicted model, not a curated record.
CUAUCAAUAACAAUAAGCAGAAGCACGUGAAAGGAGGUAUAAAUCAUUGGUAAUGGUGGAGCUCAGGAGUGCUGAACUUGUAGCUCAUUUACUUAAACAGUUAAAUAUUGCCACUUUUGUAAGCUAAAAAAAAAAGGAAACCUCACCUAAUCCAAAACGUCUCACAUUUUCUUUAAUAAAAGCAGUUGUUUCCUCUUUUAUCCCCCUUUUUUGUGUGCCAUAAAGGUCAUCCCUGGUGUGUCUGUUGAGAUCCUCAGCAGCCAAAAUGUAUUAGAGUUCCCACUAAGUAAAUUAAGUUGACUAAAAACGUGGCAAAAAUGGCUGGCAGACCACUCCUGCUGGGUUAUUUUAUACUAUGCCACAGAUUUUAAACAGUUAAGAAAACCAAUUAGCAUCAAGCAGGCGUACGAUACCAUUUUGUUCUGUAAUUCUACCUGUCACUUUUUUAUUUCCCAUUUCAUUCUCAUCUUUCUUCAUAAUUGGAUACAAAAAUACUGAGCUGUAACUACUUGUGCGAAGACAGAUGAGAGACAGACCCGGAACAGAUCAGCGUGUGCGUUAGAAGCCGUGCAUUGUGAAAAUCCAAAAUCAGUUGGAAAGUGAUGAUUCAACCACUAAUAUACGCAUGGGGAAAGAGCAGGAAGGAAGAAGGUGCAAUUUGCUCGCCUGAUGCACUUUGAAACCCUCAAGCCACAUGGCCGAAGGCACUUGUUUACGGGCAUCGCUUCCCAAAUACACUUUGCUUUUGAACUGGUGGAUAUACAAAUCAGGCUAUUGCAGCGCACACAUCUCAAAUGAGGGAGGCCUAUUCCGAUGGAAACAUCUGGUUUCAUUACACCAGACUCCAAAGAUUGGCUCCUAAGCAACACUGCGGAGAUUUUUGUGUAACUUAACCACCUUCCAUUGGUGUGCUGGGACUCUGAGAACUCUCCAAAGAGCAAUACAGUGGAUUCCUGGAAGACUGGGAAUGACUGGUGUGCCAGAGCGAGAACUGGAGUUAUUGUCAAGUAACCUUUUUGAUUAUCUGGUGGGAUAUUUCCUUAGUUUGAUUGGGUUUCUUUUUAAAGAUGAAGUUGGAAAAUAUCAUAGUGCUUUUGUUCUUUUAAUACACCUCUGCCCGAAGAUGUGUGUGUGUGUGUGUUGGCAACUCGAACCGUUGGUUGAUCUUCUCUUACUAUAUCUAUAUUCUCUUACUACACCUAUGAUGCACAGCAGCGUGUGUACUCCAUGCUCCCACGUGCCUUUGCUUACGCUGCCUGCUCGGAUUUUCUCCUCUGACAAAAAUGAAGGAAUGAAAACGCCUUAAUAUACAUUCACUGCAAUGAAUGCUGGGUUUUUUUCUCUGGGGUUUUCGUGAGUAUUGCCCUACUAAACGUUCACACAGCAUCUUGUGGCAUCUCUGACUAGAAAUCUAUUUGUGAAGCAGACCUGUGGCUGGGUGCACUUGAGUGAAGUGUUUCAUACUUAGUGUUAUGUCGAGCAGUCUUGGUACUGGUAUUCACAAGAUUAUGUAGCCUUUUUUUUUUACCCAGUGGGGAAAGCUGCCCGUUUAACCUGUCACUUCACGUCCAAAUAGUCAUGCAUGAUGCUUCCUGUGGGUACCAUUCAACACAGCAUUGGCACGAGAUUUGCUUCCCUCCAACAAAGCGAAGUCCGUGGCUUAAAAUUCCAGCCCUCCCUUUACCACCUACACCUAAGCAGUCAGUGAACCCCAUCUCAUCUUAACGCAUAUAAAAAUGGGUAUUAUUGUUUAUUGCCUAUUAAGUGGAAAGAUUGCCUUGUCAUCCUGCAGUUUCACCUCUUCUGUUUUCCCCUGUGGAAGGAGACAUUUAAAUUGAAACUUUUGGAUUGGAGGUACAGAGGAAAUAAAGCAAGCCACCA